CAGGAUAGCUCAGUUUGGAUAGAGCGGAUGGCUACGAUCCAUCAGGUCGCGGGUUCGAAUCCCGUUCCUAACCA
Molecule: transfer RNA, 74 nt
Filed under: Candidatus Omnitrophota bacterium
Lineage: Bacteria; Pseudomonadati; Candidatus Omnitrophota
Description: tRNA-Arg
Rfam family: tRNA
About the family: Transfer RNA (tRNA) molecules are approximately 80 nucleotides in length. Their secondary structure includes four short double-helical elements and three loops (D, anti-codon, and T loops).
Source: RNAcentral